This 488-nucleotide ribosomal RNA is filed under the name bacterium ID5-18. Its description in RNAcentral is "bacterial SSU rRNA". It matches the Rfam family "Bacterial small subunit ribosomal RNA", at positions 28 to 525 of the family's 1533-position model. The record is from RNAcentral.
GUUUAACGCUGGCGGCGUGCUUAACNCAUGCAAGUCNAACGGUGAACACGGAGCUUGCUCUGUGGGAUCAGUGGCGAACGGGUGAGUAACACGUGAGCAACCUGCCCCUGACUCUGGGAUAAGCGCUGGAAACGGCGUCUAAUACUGGAUAUGUGACGUGAUCGCAUGGUCUGCGUCUGGAAAGAAUUUCGGUUGGGGAUGGGCUCGCGGCCUAUCAGCUUGUUGGUGAGGUAAUGGCUCACCAAGGCGUCGACGGGUAGCCGGCCUGAGAGGGUGACCGGCCACACUGGGACUGAGACACGGCCCAGACUCCUACGGGAGGCAGCAGUGGGGAAUAUUGCACAAUGGGCGCAAGCCUGAUGCAGCAACGCCGCGUGAGGGACGACGGCCUUCGGGUUGUAAACCUCUUUUAGCAGGGAAGAAGCGAAAGUGACGGUACCUGCAGAAAAAGCGCCGGCUAACUACGUGCCAGCAGCCGCGGGGUAAUA